RNA transcript from Osmerus eperlanus (European smelt), 1167 nucleotides. It is a transcript of the gene named protein shisa-like-1a, with no coding region annotated. The transcript is spliced from 3 exons. The record is from RefSeq and is a predicted model, not a curated record. NCBI's taxonomy places the organism in Eukaryota, Metazoa, Chordata, Actinopteri, Osmeriformes, Osmeridae.
AUCUUGUUUCUAGAUAGCUUGACCGAUUUGCGCACAACAGCAACCAAGGAUCUCUGAGAAGAGCCUGGUGUAGUACAGCUCUUUAGUAGCCUAUGGCCAAGGAGCGUCAGUUCUGAGUCUAGCAAGAGUGGUUAAUAACGCACUGGUCGAUGAUUGGUAUACAAAAUACAGAUACCAGCGUCCCCUGUGCUUGCUCAGAAAAUACACUCCAACAUAUGCGCCCUAUAUAAAUACCCUUUUCGGAUGAAAAAAUAUAAGAAAAAGUAUUAAUAACUGAUUUGUACCUAGAGGAUAUCACAUUUCAAUACUGAGCCUACUGAGCCUAGUUUAUAAAAGACUAAGUUGUGCAAGAAUUUGCAUUUGGAAAAUGAUGAAGGCAAUAUCUCAAGGGAAGCAUUGCCCCUGGACGACCUAAUAAGUUCCCUGCUCCACAGUCUUGCCAAAUGAGUCUGAGCCUCUGAGAGCACAAACGCAUCAAAGGCUUUCAACAACACAUGAGCCCCCUGCCCAGUCUUACUGCUGCUGGCUGGGACAGGGGCUCAAGCAGUGCUGUACACUAACACUGUAUCAGAGCAGCAUGAACUUCAGCCAGACGGACACCAGAGGAAGUCUAAAAUAUCAUCUCGACAGCAACAGGCCUAUUUUGAAGAUGGUGAUCAUGCUCUAUGGGUGCUUGGUGCUGGUUCUGUUGCUUACGGACUUCCUGUGGUUCUGUCGAGCAAGAGGUCUCACUGUGAUAUCAGUUCUAAAGAACUAUUUCACCUGCCCCCACUGGAUCUCUGGUAUCCUCUUUCCCCACCACACCCACAAGAAGACAGAGCGCUGCCAUGGCGAUAGAAGAGCGUCAGUAAGCCUACGUGAGCACAAAAUCCCGAGGGAACUCCCUUGUCUCUAAGGCAACAGAAGACACAAAACAAUGGGGCAGUGUGGCUACCCCAUUAAACAAGGAGAAUGUCCCUGGGGUGCAGACAUUUCCAUGCCAAACUCUAUUUUUUAGCAUUCUAACUGUGAUAAAAGCAACCUAAAAUAUGCAAAAAACUGAUGCACAAUGGCAAAGAAGGGUAUUUCUUCUAUAUAAUUCUUAAUCCGCCCAUUCAUCUGUUUAAUCGAUUAUUAGUUUUGUCCUUAUCUACAAUAAAAAAUUGUGGUAGGCCUACUUGCCACUAA